AUGACUGCUAGGGGGUCCUGGCUCAUCUUCUUCCAGGGCUUUUUGUUCUCCGUUAAUAGGGACACUGGAAGGGUUGUCAUGAUGAUUACAGUGUCCAGGGCUGUGGAACUACAGAAGGCGGUAAGAAUAUUUAAUUGUAGAGUUGGGAAGACACAUGCAGAUGGCAGAAUUCUAGAACAACGCUGUACUGAGCUGCAUUUCUCUGGUUUGUCCUGGCACGUACGAGUUUGUAGUACAGAAUGAGUACAUUCAUCGUGGGAAGUUGGUGAAUACACGUAACAAUCUUAAUUCUUUUUAUCUCCCCUUUCCCUACUUCCGCUCUCUUUCCCUCUAUCUCUUUUUCCUCUUCCCCAAUUUGCAAAAGAUCUAUCUCCAUGUUUCCCAUUAUAUGUCUUUUAUUUUGAUCUUCAAUUUAU
RNAcentral lists this long non-coding RNA (416 nucleotides) under Chinchilla lanigera (long-tailed chinchilla). RNAcentral describes it as "lncRNA (ENSCLAG00000027918.1)". Lineage: Eukaryota; Metazoa; Chordata; Mammalia; Rodentia; Chinchillidae. The record is from RNAcentral.